AGACACAGCUGGACACAGCCAGACACAGCCGGACACAGCCUGUUCCAGCCGAGCCCAGCUGGAUCCACCACAGAGCGUUGCUGAGCCAUGGCCAGGGCAGGGGCACCACGGAGAAACACAGGAAAAAGACAUGAUUCACUCAGAAGCUGAAACACAGAUGUCAGUCUGACAACGUCUGCAGACCCAGUUUUGGUCAGCUGUAACUGAGCACCUAUGUUUGGCUGAAAGGUCAGGCUGAUUGAUGAUGCAUGUCCUUGGCCAACUGGCAAGAGCAUCUUUUGUUCCUCACAGAACAAGCACAAUUAUUUCUACAAAGCACUCUGUAUUUACCAGGUUUUUACUGUACAAGUACAAACCAU
This is a long non-coding RNA of Passer domesticus (house sparrow), 359 nucleotides long. RefSeq lists it as uncharacterized. The record is from RefSeq and is a predicted model, not a curated record. NCBI's taxonomy places the organism in Eukaryota, Metazoa, Chordata, Aves, Passeriformes, Passeridae. The transcript has 3 exons.